This 1212-nucleotide long non-coding RNA is filed under the name Physcomitrium patens. Its description in RNAcentral is "long non-coding RNA (PPAT_LNC005128)". The record is from RNAcentral. Lineage: Eukaryota; Viridiplantae; Streptophyta; Bryopsida; Funariales; Funariaceae.
GUUCGUCGGUCCUCCAUCACCUUGGCCACCCAUCCUGACGCUUGAGAAGCAGAGACCAAUAACUGUUUCCUCAGAGGCAGUGGAAAGCUAAGAAGCUGUCCCCCACGAAUUGAGAAGCAAAGCAAGCCUGCUGUGAGGAUACACGAAUAGCUUCACACCGAUUCGACCCACAAACAGAGCACAGAAGGCGCAAGAACAACACAUGAUCCAUCUCGUGGAAUCUCUCCAACUUAUACACGAGCUCCAUGCCUGCGCAACGCUAAUCAGAAGCCUCCGAGUCUACAAUGCGAGAAACAGGAGAUGGAUUGUGCGGACACCAAGGCUGUGUCUGCAAGCCAGUGUGAGAGGCACUGGCAGCGAGGAAGAUGGAGAGAAGAUCACGUGUCGGCAGGCAUUGAACGAGGUCGAGGGGGGUUGAGAAGGAGUGUGCGGUAGAGGUCGCAGACUUGGUGGGAUUGUGAGAUGGGAAGAGCUGCCAAUCUCCAUGCAGUUUCGUUGUGAAAUCCUUGUCGGUACAUUUCCACGACGAAGUCGCGACUGGGCAGGCGCGUGGAGGGUGGCGGUGGAGUUCUGUAGACCCGCCCUCCAGCACGGGAAGUCUGUGCAAUCGGAACUUCCAUUGCUUUCCUGAUAUCAUUGAAGAGGUGCUUUUGCCAGGCGAAUCCCAUCCAUGAAAAGACUCUUUCACCGGGGAAGUGUGUAAGUUUGUACUCGUUUGCUUAUAUAUAUUAAUAUUCUGUGUGUAGUGUGAUGAAUGGUUUUCGAUGUCUUAUAUGUUUUUUGAUAAAUCAUAAUUUUAGUAUCACACACAUACUGUACUGUUAUGUUUUUUCUUGGAAAACGCGCGUAAAAGAAUAGAAUGUGAGAUGCUUACGAGUAAAAUUCAUAGAAGGCUCAAAUGUUUAGUAGUGAAAACACACUUCGUUUACAUAAUUAAUGAGACGUAUUUCAUAAAUGUAUGGAGAAUAAUUUAACAGAGAAAACUUGCUCAUUUGUUUUAGUUUUAAAACGUACUAUUCUACCUGGACAGGUUUGGGAUAUAGUUUCGUGAAAAUAUUUUGGGUAUUAAUAAUGUAGUAGGGGUUGGGACUUGGAACAACAUGGUUUUUAGUUUUAAUGGUUGAAAGUUGAAUUUUAUUUUUUUAUAAGAAUUACGUUACAGAAUAUCAAGUAAAAAUUUAGCUACUCUAUGUUUCUUACGCCAUUACUGAA